GACGUAGGGGGCCAGCGUUGUUCGGAAUUAUUGGGUGUAAAGGGUUCGUAGGCGGUGUGGCAAGUUGGGAGUGAAAUCUCUGGGCUUAACCCAGAGGCUGCUUCCAAAACUGCUGUGCUUGAGUGUGGGAGAGGCGCGUGGAAUUGCAGGUGUAGCGGUGAAAUGCGUAGAUAUCUGCAGGAACACCCGUGGCGAAAGCGGCGCGCUGGACCACUACUGACGCUGAGGAACGAAAGCUAGGGGAGCAAACAGG
This 253-nucleotide ribosomal RNA is filed under the name uncultured bacterium. Its description in RNAcentral is "partial 16S ribosomal RNA". It matches the Rfam family "Bacterial small subunit ribosomal RNA", at positions 524 to 776 of the family's 1533-position model. The record is from RNAcentral.